This is a long non-coding RNA of Lotus japonicus, 775 nucleotides long. RefSeq lists it as uncharacterized. NCBI's taxonomy places the organism in Eukaryota, Viridiplantae, Streptophyta, Magnoliopsida, Fabales, Fabaceae. The transcript has 5 exons. The record is from RefSeq and is a predicted model, not a curated record.
CUUAAAAAUUAAACCCCUAAAACACUCUCUUCUCAGAACUUCACGAUGAUAAGAGAAAGUUUAUGAACCCUAGCUUUCUCCAUCUCAAUUGAUCGUGAUCGACCCUCCUCCCUCCGCCGGCACCGCUCAUCAUCUCAUCUCGCGCGACCCUUCUCUCCACCGGCACGACGCAUCUUGCGUGACCCUCCCCUCUCCGCUGUUGAGUGCUUACAGGUUAAGUAGGGCUGUAUCAUCUGUGAUGUUUGCAUGGGCAAGUACUUUUGUGGGACAUGCAAACUCUUUGAUGAUGGUGUGCUCAUUACUAAACCUAAGGUUCUCAACUAAGAAAGAUCCAGAGUGGCUAAAGGACUUAAGGGAACAAGAGGUUGUCAUCAAAUGUGACGAAGGAAUCCAAAUGAAUCUGUUAUGAUUUAGACUAUACUGAUUUGUUGCAAUUGAAGUUGGAAUGGCUCCAAAUGUUUUCUAUUGUCUCAAGAUUUUGAAGCCUCCGCAUAUCCACUUGUCCUGGCUUAGGAUUUGGACAUAAAGAAAUGGCACAUACUUAUCCAUUUGUUUUUGCAAAUUUAACCCAUGGUCAAAAUUUUAUCCUCUAUUCUAUGCUAUUUUAUAGAGUAACCCCAGAUGCUUGCUGUUAUGGCUUGUCAUAGGCUGAGAUGUGAUUUAAGUAGGCCAAAUAAGAAUUAGGCCUUCUUCACUUUAACUUCUUCCUGAACAUUUAAAGUUCUUCAGAACAUCAUUUAUUUGAGUUAACAGAUUUCUUUUGAUUGUUGUUUGA